CAACAUCUUUAGAACUACUGAUUUCUCUCUACAAAACCAGAAUCAGCGCGUUUUGUCUGCCUUCCUGUUUAGUUCAAGUCGGAUGUGCCAUCAUCACCCACCUUUACACACGGAUUGGGGAGCCCCUAUCAGUCCUGGCAGGAGACCAACACAUGAGAUAAGUGUCCUGCGAACCGAUCAGUGGCGUGCAAAACAUAUUGGGCAACACUGUCCAUAGGAAAAUACCUCAGAAAAACAAGGUAAGCGUCUUUGAACAGGGUAAGCAUCCCAGAACAAGGAUUUUUUUAGGACAAGAUAAGCAUCUUGACUCCUUUCAUGAGAAACAAGCGAUUAGUGAAAAACAUGUUUGUGCAGUUCGACUUUGGCACAACAAUAUUAUGGAUGACGUAUUUGAAUCUCAGGAUGAUCAGUCCAUACAGGAUCAGAAUCAAUCCACACCUCAAUCACCUCAUAUGUAUGUCUGAAGGUGGAGUUGGAGGUGCUCCACUGAUCCGUGAGUAAUGGAGCCAAUUACUGACAAUCACACCUUCCAAAAUAAAUACAGUAACAGGAGGACAAUGAUAAAUUCUAUGCUACGUGGGCGACGUAAUCGUCCGCAAGUUAGUCUUAAUACAUGCCAUCAUCCCUGUCCCAAAAAAGUCUGACUUAACCUGCCUCAGUGAUUACAGGCCAAUCGCUCUUACCUCAGCAGUGAUGAAGUGCUUUGAGGGGCUGGUUGCACAUCAUUUCAAUGCCAGCUUCCCUCCCUUCUUCUAUCCCCAUCAUCAAAUUCCUGAGGAUACACAUCUCUGAGAAGCUCGCCUGGUCUAUCAGCACCUCAACACUCGCUAAGAAGGCACAGCAGCGAGUCCACUUUCUGAGAGUACUCAGGAAAAUCAAGCCGAAUCAGUAGCUGCUUGUGGCCUUUGAUCGCUCUGCCAUCAAAUGUAUCCUGGCAUACUGCAUUACAGUGUGGUAUGCUGGCUUACUGCGUUACAGUGUGGUAUGCUGGCUUACUGCAUUACAGUGUGGUAUGCUGGCAUACUGCAUUACAGUGUGGUAUGCUGGCUUACUGCAUUAGUGUGGUAUGCUGGCAUACUGCGUUACAGUGUGGUAUGCUGGCAUACUGCGUUACAGUGUGGUAUGCUGGCAUACUGCGUUACAGUGUGGU
Molecule: long non-coding RNA, 1150 nt
Organism: Brienomyrus brachyistius
Lineage: Eukaryota; Metazoa; Chordata; Actinopteri; Osteoglossiformes; Mormyridae
Exons: 3
Source: RefSeq, a predicted model, not a curated record